Molecule: long non-coding RNA, 260 nt
Filed under: Mytilus galloprovincialis (Mediterranean mussel)
Lineage: Eukaryota; Metazoa; Mollusca; Bivalvia; Mytilida; Mytilidae
Source: RNAcentral
CAUUUACAUGUAUGGGACAAUAUAACAAAUCAAAGGAAUAAUAAGGGAGUCCCUAGGGUCACUGUAAACCCUCCUGUUUGAGAACUUGGAAACAUUCGAGAUCCUCAACCCUAAACCAUAUUUAUUCAUGUAUGGGACAAUAUAACUAAUCAAAUGAAAUAUAGGGGGAUUCCCUGGGGUUCAUCCCACCCCUCCUGUUUGAGAACUUGGUAACGGUCAAGAUCCCACCCCUAAACCAUAUAUAUUCAUGUAUGUGACAA